UGAGGAAUAUUGGUCAAUGGGCGCAAGCCUGAACCAGCCAUGCCGCGUGAAGGAAGAAGGUUCUAUGGAUUGUAAACUUCUUUUAUUUAGGAAUAAACCUCCCGACGUGUCGGGAGCUGAAGGUACUAAAUGAAUAAGCACCGGCUAACUCCGUG
Molecule: ribosomal RNA, 155 nt
Filed under: uncultured Porphyromonas sp.
Lineage: Bacteria; Pseudomonadati; Bacteroidota; Bacteroidia; Bacteroidales; Porphyromonadaceae
Description: partial 16S ribosomal RNA
Rfam family: Bacterial small subunit ribosomal RNA
Source: RNAcentral